AACAUCCGCCGGAAGAACGGGAUUCAUUGAUGUUGAAUUUUAUGGGUAUUUUACUCGUUGUUU
RNAcentral lists this transfer RNA (63 nucleotides) under Galba pervia. RNAcentral describes it as "tRNA-Ile". Lineage: Eukaryota; Metazoa; Mollusca; Gastropoda; Lymnaeidae. The record is from RNAcentral.